This 2276-nucleotide ribosomal RNA is filed under the name Paralicella caperesca. RNAcentral describes it as "partial small subunit ribosomal RNA". It matches the Rfam family "Eukaryotic small subunit ribosomal RNA". Lineage: Eukaryota; Metazoa; Arthropoda; Malacostraca; Amphipoda; Lysianassidae. The record is from RNAcentral.
GUGUCUGACACGGCGAGACCGCGGACGGCUCAUUAAAUCAGUCGUGGUCCAUAUGGGCCAGUGUUGAUCCUACUUGGACAACUGUGGUAAUUCCAGAGCUAAUACAUGCAACUCUUAUCCUGAAGGAGCGUCAUGCUCUCUGACGGAUGCUUUUAUUAGACCAAACCGCUGGGUGCGUGGUGCUUCACUUCGGUGUUCCCACGUUUGACUCGUGUGAUGGUGACUCUGAAUAACAUUUUUCUUGACAAGCGCAAGUACCCCUCUUAUGAGUUGGGACGGCGCUACCACUUUCGAGUGUCUGACUUAUCAGCUAUCAACCGUUCGUUAUGUGCGACCGAUGGCUUUGACGGGUAACGGGGAAUCAGAGUUCGAUUCCGGAGAGGCAGCCUGAGAGACGGCUACCACGUCCAAGGACGGCAGCAGGCACGCAAAUUACCCAAUCCCAGCACCUGGGGGAGGUAGUGACGAAAUCUAACGAUGCGGGCGCCCUUUCUGGGGCCCCGCAAUCGGAAUGGCCACUUUCUAAAAAACCUGUUGAGAACCUACUGAAGGGCAAGUCUGGUGCCAGCAGCCGCGGUAAUUCCAGCUUCAGUAGCAUCUAUUAAAGUUGCUGCGGUUAAAAGGCUCGCAGUUGAAUGUCAGUACCGAGCGCAGGUCAGGUGGACGCUGGGGCGUGGGAAUACAAGGCGUGCGUUUUCGUGUUUUCUUUUUCUCGCGCGUGCGCUUUCACAUAUUGAGUGCGUGUUUCGCGCGUACGAGAUUGUGUCGUUGUGUGUGAGUGACAAGCCUCCUCGCUUGUGUACAUAUCUGGAAUCGUUUCAUAUAAUGGAGUGAUGUGUAUCGCGCGCGCGUUAGUGGGUUUGCGUAUCGUGGUGCGCGUGUUUAGUGCCGGCCCUGUGCUUGUACGGCGCGUGUGUUGCGUGCGUUUCUCGCGCGCGCGUUGCGGCAUGUCGUAAGCUCCUUCGGUUUUACAGUCACCUUGAGUAAAUCAGAGUGCUCAAAGCAGUCGUGAGGGCCUUGUGCCCUGUGAACAGUCUUGACGGACUGACUUGGUUUUGCAUGGCAUGUCGGAAGACGACGUCGUGUGCUGGCUCAGAGAUGUAAUCAGUGGUACAAGCCAGCCUCGACGUACUGAUUAAAAGGUUCGGUCGAGGGCAUUGGUAUUGCGGGGCGAGAGGUGAAAUUCUAUGACCCCCGCAAGACCUCCUGAAGCGAAAGCGUCUGCCAAGGACGUUCUCACUAAUCAUGAACGAAAGUUAGAGGAUCGAAGGCGAUCAGAUACCGCCCUAGUUCUAACCGUAAACGAUGCCAACCAUCAAUCCGCGCGUAGCACCCUUCUUAACGGGCUCGGCGGGCAGCUCCCCACUCACGGGAAACCAGAGUCUCUGGGUUCCGGGGGGAGUCUGGUUGCAAAGCUGAAACUUAAAGGAAUUGACGGAAAGGCACCACCAGGCGUGGAGCCUGCGGCUUAAUUUGACUCAACACGGGUCUUGAAUGAUUGACAGAUUGAGAGCUCUUUCUCGAUUCAGUGGAUGGUGGUGCAUGGCCGUUCUUAGUUGGUGGAGUGAUCUGUCUGGUUAAUUCCGAUAACGAACGAGACUCUCCCCUGCUAACUAGUCGGUUGGAUCUUGUGUUAUGCGAGUUGUGUGCCGGGAACACCCGAUGUUGGAUGCGCGCUGUUGUUGGGGCGGCGGCGGAGGUGUUUGUGUCGUGUGGUGGUUAGCUCACGCUGCUGCUGCCUUUGCAUCACCUCUUCGUUUAGCUCCUCACUCGUGCUCCUUCGUUCGGGCCCCGGGCCACACACUCCAAGUCCGCCGCUUAUGCUAUAACUCUUCUUAGAGGGAUUCACGGUACUGAAGCCGUAAGAGACUGAGAGCAAUAACAGGUCUGUGAUGCCCUUAGAUGCUCUGGGCCGCACGCGCGCUACAAUGCCGGGCACAGCAGGUAGUUCUCCUGCUCCGACAGGAGCGGGUAACCCUCUGAAAGCCCUUUGUUUAUUUUGUCGUGUCUCGCUCGUGGGCUACUGCGCUGUGGGGGCGUGCUGCUUUACGGUGGUGCGUUCGUACGGUGUGUGUUUCGCGUUGUGAGAUGCGAACGGCGUGAUGGGGCCUGGGACUUGCAAUUUUUUCCCACAAACGAGGAAUGCCUAGUAGCGGCGGGUCACUGAGCCCACCGUGACUCAGUCCCUGCCCUUUGUACACACCGCCCGUCGCUACUACCGAUUGGGUGUACCAGUGAGAGCCUUGGACUGGCGUCCGUUGUUACCUUCGGGUAAG